GAUGAAGAACGCAGCGAAAUGCGAUACGUAAUGUGAAUUGCAAAUUCAGUGAAUCAUCGAGUCUUUGAACGCACAUUGCGCCCCCUGGUAUUCCGGGGGGCAUGCCUGUCCGAGCGUCAUUGCUGCCCUCAAGCACGGCUUGUGUGUUGGGCCCCGUCCUCCGAUCCCGGGGGACGGGCCCGAAAGGCAGCGGCGGCACCGCGUCCGGUCCUCGAGCGUAUGGGGCUUUGUCACCCGCUCUGUAGGCCCGGCCGGCGCUUGCCGAUCAACCCAAAUUUUUUAUCCAGGUUGACCUCGGAUCAGGUAGGGAUACCCGCUGAACUUAAGCAUAUCAUAAGCGGAGGA
This 345-nucleotide unclassified non-coding RNA is filed under the name soil metagenome. RNAcentral describes it as "partial contains 5.8S ribosomal RNA, internal transcribed spacer 2, and large subunit ribosomal RNA". The stretch from base 1 to 119 matches the Rfam family "5.8S ribosomal RNA", at positions 35 to 154 of the family's 154-position model. The record is from RNAcentral.